Camelus dromedarius (Arabian camel) is the source of this 3429-nucleotide long non-coding RNA. RefSeq lists it as uncharacterized. Lineage: Eukaryota; Metazoa; Chordata; Mammalia; Artiodactyla; Camelidae. The transcript has 11 exons. The record is from RefSeq and is a predicted model, not a curated record.
CAUGACACCUUUCUCUCAAAUUAAAAUGUGACUGGGUUGACCGGUAGAAACGCAGUGGGAGAUGGAAAAGACCGGGAGUCGAAAAGGAAGAGGAGAUGGCCGCCGGUGCCUACGCCCCGGCCAGGCCAGGCCCAGGCCUCCAGCGCUCCCGCUUCCGGCUCCGAGCGGGCGGGGCGAGAGAGCAUGCGCAGUGGGGUGCGCCGCCAGCCGCCGCUCCCAUCCGGACCGUGAGGAAGUCCACCUCGGGUGUUGCACAAGGCAUUGCCAUCUCUUCAAAACACAUAUCUGAAGUGUUUAGGCUUCUCACCUCAAUCCAAAACUGUGCAUUUGGUUCCAGUUUGAUGAGAAGAAACUGAAUUGCCAAUGAAAUGUUACCUUUACCCUAGUGGGGAGAUUGCUGACUGGACUCUGGGUGCUGGAGAAGUUUAAGGUCUGAGGACCCAGGUAGGAGGGAAUAUGCCCGAGACAGUGGUCAUGUUAUAACCUCACCAGGAUCCUGCACAUUCAAUACUAUACAGGUGUACAUGCGCAAAAAUAAUUCAAGAAUACAGACAAUGCAGACUGUUGGAGAGCCAAUCUGAAAUCAAUUAAAAGGAAUGAACAUUUAUUAAUAACAUGAGUGCAAGCAGAUGGAAAGGGAUCUGUACCGAACAAAUCUCCAAAAAUAGAAACAAUCUACUGGAGAAAGAGAAACAUGCCAUGUCCAAAAACCUGUUUCCAGCUUAAAGGUUAUCUUUUUUAUGGAGUGAGGAUUUUCACAUGACCCAUUUCUUCUUUUUUGCAAGACUAAGAUAUAUGCCCAGGAGUGGGAUUGCUAGAUCAUUAUGGUCACUUGUCUGCCUUUCAGGAAGGCAGGCCCACUCCAUCGAUAUCGUGGUGAGACAGAUUCCACAUAUGAGCGCUCUCAUAUGGAGAUUCAAAGAGACAUUACGGUCCUUGACCAACAGAGAGCCAUGCAGUCCACCAAAUAACCAACAGGAAACCAGACAUUACAAAUGCUGUCCUGGAUCCUGGGGCCAAUGGAUACCCUCAUGCGAAAGAAUAAAGUUGGACCAAUGCCUACAGCAUAUAUAAACAUUAUCUCAAGGUGGAUUAAAGACCUAAAUGUAAGAGAAUCCACCAGUAAAGUUUUCUGAGUAGAGGAGGAUCCUGGUCCAAUUCUGUCACUGAAGAAGGGAAAGACAAGUCCCAAGAGGUGCAGUAACUUUCUCAAGACCACAUGCACACUUAGAGGUGUUUAAGUCUAGAGUGAGUCAGGAUAAUUUUGGAUUUUUGGUGCUUAAGUAUUAUUAUAAAAUAAGAAAAAAUAUAGAGACUAGAAGGAGAAAGAAGCAGGAAGUAGGGGGAUCUUAUAAACACAAAAUGUCCAUUUGCCAUGAUGACCUUUGGGCUCUUGGCACAAGCAUGGGUUUUGCAGUGUUGUGAACUAGGAAAUAGGAUGGGAAUAGCACGGGUGGAUGUUAGGCCAGAAUCACUGUAUGAGUACCAUGGUAAUUAGUUAAUUUAAAAAAUUCUAAUAUGAAAUACUCAGUAUUCAUUUAGUGCCCUCUGCAGUUCUCUUCAGAAUCACCUUAAUAUGGGUGUACCCUUCCUCAUCUUCACGUCCUCAAUAAGCCACUUCUUUCUUACAUUUCUCUUACACCACCAGAGAUCUGGCACCCUCAUUUUGUACUCUGGGAGAAAGCCUAUUCUGCAAGAACAUGACGACGCCUCCUUCCCUCCAGUUUUAUACACACACACACACAUGAACAAUUUAUAGCAAAUAUGUGUAUAUUCAUUGAAAACAUUUAGAAAAUACAGAAAUAAAAGCAAAAAUUUUAAAUCACAUUUAGUCUCACUACCUAGAUGCAAAUAUUGGUUAUAUUAGUAUGUUUCUUUUUAUUCCCCGGAGGGAUUUUUUUUGGAUGCACACAGAUACACAUUUAAAAGAAUAAUUAGGACCAACCUAUAUGUUAUAUUAUCACUGCUGCUUUCACUUAACUGUAUGUUAUUACCACUUUUCUAUGUCAUAAUUUUCUAUAAUAUUAUUUUAAUUAUUUAAAAUAUUCCAUUGGCUAAAGUACCACAGUUUAUUUAAAUCAUUCACUAGUAUGGAUAUCUUUGUUGCCUACAAUUUUUUACUAAUACAAAAGAAAAAUGCCACACUGAAUGUCAUUGGAGCUAAAUCUUUGCACACUGUUGACUCAGGAUAAAUUCUUAGAAAUAGACCAAGGUAAUCACAUAAUUAAGCACAAAUAGGUAGUAUUUUUAAUUAAGAGUUUUGAUAAAUGCUGUCAAAUUGUAUUCCAGAAGGGUUGUGGAAUUUUAUAGACCCAUUAGCAAUAUAAAAAAGAGAUGAAAAGUGUGUAUGUGUAUUUGUGCAUAUCUGUUUGUGUUUAUGUAUAAAUAACCUGUGUGUGUUUCUUCUAGUAAAGUGAAAUACUACUUAGCUUAGGUAACUAUACUGGAGUAACUAGCUGUAGUAAUAAAUAAAACCUAAAAUUGUAAUGGCUUAACAUAAUAAAAAUUUACUUUUUGCUCAUGUAAAUGUUCACUGAGGGCUUCCACAUUGUGGAUGGCUUUCCUCCAUGGGGUGAUUUAGAGAUUUGGACUCUUCCAUCUUGUGGCUGGGAAUUCUCUAGUGCCUCACCAUUGUUGUACACACCUGGUGCGGAUACAGGGAAAAGAGAAAGCAUGAUGGAGCUAUAACCUCAGUCUGCUGGCUAGAACUCAGUCACGUGGUCUCCAAGGGAAUAUGGGAAAUAUAGUCGGAACGGCUGCUACCGAAGUGGCCAAAAAUGAUAAACCUAGGUAGAAAAAUAGAGCAGGAUCAUGAAAUACAAAAAAUGCUGACUAUAUUGACAGAAGAGACCAGUUGCAGUCAUUAGCAAUGAUGUUCCCAUGUACACACUGAAGUUGAAAUUUUUCAUUUUAAUUAGAGCAAUUUAAGUUCUCUAAAGGCUUUCCGCUUGCGUAUUUGCAAAUGUAUGACAGGUUUUUUUAUGCCAAUUUUGUACUUAAGAAGUCCUUCCCAUUCAAUAUCAUACCGUCAGAUUUUCAACAUAAUACAUUUAUGUGAUAACAAAAAGAUGUUUAAUUCCUAGAUAAAACAAUUGAUCAUGCACACAGCAUGACUCUUCACUUGGCAACAUUCGGUUCAUAUAUCUGCUAUAGUGCUCAGAACAAUAAUCAGGCAGGUAAAUUUGCAGGUCUGUUGAACAACCAUGAAGGCUGUCCUUAGAUUUCAUAGAUGUAUUUCCUUUUGUCCUUUUCUAGAAGACAACCCAUUGCUUGAUACUGAUAUAUUUGAGGUCAUUUUUUAACAGAGUGAACAGCUUUAUGUUCUUUCCCCGACAGUUAUCUUGCUUUGCUGAUUAUGACCUUUUGUCUCCCCGAGUAGAACUUGCAGUAGACAGAGAAAAAGACAGCUUAGCCUUCCUUCAAACCUGG